CUACGGGUUGCACCAGUGAGGAAUAUUGCACAAUGGAGGAAACUCUGAUGCAGCAACGCCGCGUGGAGGAUGACGCAUUUCGGUGUGUAAACUCCUUUUAUAUGUCAAGAAAAUGACGGUAGCAUAUGAAUAAGCACCGGCUAACUCCGUGCCAGCAGCCGCGGUAAUACGGAGGGUGCAAGCGUUACUCGGAAUCACUGGGCGUAAAGGACGCGUAGGCGGGAUAUCAAGUCAGGUGUGAAAUCCUAAAGCUUAACUGUAGAACUGCACUUGAAACUGGUAACCUAGAGUAUGGGAGGGGGAGAUGGAAUUAGUGGUGUAGGGGUAAAAUCCGUAGAUAUCACUAGGAAUACCUAAAGCGAAGGCGAUCUCCUGGAACAUAACUGACGCUAAGGCGUGAAAGCGUGGGGAGCAAACAGGAUUAGAUACCCCAGUAGUC
This 439-nucleotide ribosomal RNA is filed under the name uncultured bacterium. RNAcentral describes it as "partial 16S ribosomal RNA". It matches the Rfam family "Bacterial small subunit ribosomal RNA", at positions 339 to 795 of the family's 1533-position model. The record is from RNAcentral.